AUGAACGCUGGCGGCGUGCCUAAUCCAUGCCAGUCGCGCGAACAGACGAGGAGCUUGCUCCUCUGACGUUAGCGGCGGACGGGUGAGUAACACGUGGAUAACCUACCUAUAAGACUGGGAUAACUUCGGGAAACCGGAGCUAAUACCGGAUAAUAUAUUGAACCGCAUGGUUCAAUAGUGAAAGACGGUUUUGCUGUUACUUAUAGAUGGAUCCGCGCCGCAUUAGCUAGUUGGUAAGGUAACGGCUUACCAAGGCAACGAUGCGUAGCCGACCUGAGAGGGUGAUCGGCCACACUGGAACUGAGACACGGUCCAGACUCCUACGGGAGGCAGCAGUAGGGAAUCUUCCGCAAUGGGCGAAAGCCUGACGGAGCAACGCCGCGUGAGUGAUGAAGGUCUUCGGAUCGUAAAACUCUGUUAUUAGGGAAGAACAAAUGUGUAAGUAACUAUGCACGUCUUGACGGUACCUAAUCAGAAAGCCACGGCUAACUACGUG
RNAcentral lists this ribosomal RNA (496 nucleotides) under uncultured bacterium. Its description in RNAcentral is "partial 16S ribosomal RNA". It matches the Rfam family "Bacterial small subunit ribosomal RNA", at positions 29 to 507 of the family's 1533-position model. The record is from RNAcentral.